AUUGAACGCUGGCGGCAGGCCUAACACAUGCAAGUCGAGCGGAUGAAGGGAGCUUGCUCCUGGAUUCAGCGGCGGACGGGUGAGUAAUGCCUAGGAAUCUGCCUGGUAGUGGGGGAUAACGUCCGGAAACGGGCGCUAAUACCGCAUACGUCCUGAGGGAGAAAGUGGGGGAUCUUCGGACCUCACGCUAUCAGAUGAGCCUAGGUCGGAUUAGCUAGUUGGUGGGGUAAAGGCCUACCAAGGCGACGAUCCGUAACUGGUCUGAGAGGAUGAUCAGUCACACUGGAACUGAGACACGGUCCAGACUCCUACGGGAGGCAGCAGUGGGGAAUAUUGGACAAUGGGCGAAAGCCUGAUCCAGCCAUGCCGCGUGCGUGAAGAAGGUCUUCGGAUUGCAAAGCACUUUAAGUUGGGAGGAAGGGCAGUAAGUUAAUACCUUGCUGUUUUGACGUUACCAACAGAAUAAGCACCGGCUAACUUCGUG
This 484-nucleotide ribosomal RNA is filed under the name uncultured bacterium. RNAcentral's name for it is "partial 16S ribosomal RNA". It matches the Rfam family "Bacterial small subunit ribosomal RNA", at positions 30 to 507 of the family's 1533-position model. The record is from RNAcentral.